AUGCUCUCAUCAGCUUGAUCAGCAGAUUAAAGUGCUGGCAUCUUCCCCAGGAAUUCCUGCACUGGGACAAACUGCCUUCAGUCACCUUUUCAGUCUGGGGCUAAGUGAGGAUGGAAAUGGAAGUUAUAGGCUAAACAUGCUGUUUCUUCAUUGUAAUGUAGAGAAACGUUAUCUUCAUCUUGUGCAGGAGGGCAAAGGAAGCUAGGAAGCUUUGCUUAUCUUUCAGUAGCUGAAGACAUUACUUGUGGCUCCUGAGGACCUCUUAGUGCAUUAACUAAAAGACUCUGGGCUCUCCCGGCAUCACUUCAGUGCAAGGACCCGUCUGACACUACUUAUGCCAGGUCCUGCCUCCCUCACAGGAGAAGCAGUCUGCAACUUUUGCUGCUCUAGACAACGCUUCAUCUCUGAGAAAACAGAGCUCUACAGAGUGGAUUUGGGGGAUCCGGGGGGAUCAGAGAGGAUCUGCCUCUGCAGAUUUGCAGCUGCUCUGCUGACAAGACCUCCUUGAGAGAGCCCGGCAGCAAUCUGCUAAACUUGAGCCUUUCUGACCUUCUCUGUCUCCUCAGGGAUUUUUGGAUUGGGCCUUAACCCUUUGACACUGACAGUUCCAGUGGGCACAUUGGUCAGACUGCAGCUCUCCUAUUCUUUGAAGAACUUUUAAUCUGCAGACUAACAUACCUUGUGGAUGGCAUUGCGUCUAGGACUCUGCUUCAGGCCUAAUGAGUGCAACAAAACCAUGUGCACGGUGAAACCGUUGGCUCUGGGCUCUGUGAAAUGACCUGCUGAGUGUAAAUUCCAAACAGGGAGAAGUGACCAGGCAUCAAAGCUACGCCCAGCCUGUCUGAAGCAACCAUCUCACUGAAAUAAGAAUCCUUCACCCAGUGGACAAGAGAAGGCUUUGGCAUCCUAUUCCCCUUUCAUUAGCUUUGGCGUCACAGUGCGUAUCUCAUCUCCUUGGGCAGAUAGGAAGGCCAGAUAACAUGCUGAUAAUAAUCCUGAUCUUCACAUCUCCCUGCAUGCUUUGGUGGUGCAUGGUGAGCAACUCUCAGUGUAGAGGAUGGUGACAACUUCAGCCAGUGGUGCGUGGGACUCUUCUGAGGUUCUCUGGCUCUUGUGAAGUGCUAGGUGCUCUUCUGGCCAGUGAGACUGGACUACUUUAAAGAGCUUGCAGUUAAAGUUACGAUGUUGCUGCUGGACAUCUCUGAUCUCAUUUGGGAGAGAAGAGAGGAAAAAAGUGCAGGAAAGUUUGUGAAGGGGAGUUACCGAGAGCAGAUCUGCCUUCCGUCUGCAACAUGAUCCCAGGGCUACAAAACUGCUGCUGCUUUUUCACUUGUCACCUGCAAUAAGAUGAAGAUAGCCUGUUACCCAAAGGGCUGCGUCCCUCUGAGCUGAGUGACUAGCUGAAAAUCGGUAGGGUUAGGAGUGCAGCUGUCCUACAGCUGUGAGGUUGGCGGGCAGGAGUGGUGGCAGAAUGUGGGGUGGAGUCGUACCUGUGUCAAGAAAGCCGGAGCUGUCUUGAGUUUGCAGUGAGUGUGAAUUAUGAAGCAAGUGUCUGCACCUCCCUGGAGCCUGUGCUCAGCUUGCUUUUGCGGUACAUCAGGCUUAGCAGCAGAAAGCUGGGGUCGCUUGGGAGCUUAGAUGGACUUCGGGUACCGCUGCCAGCUGGAUCAUCUCCUACCACAGAACUGUAAGAAACUGGGUGAAAAGGUUACAGUCAAGAAGUGAUUUGUUAAUUAAUUGGUGCCGUCUCCUGGGACACAGGGAUUGGAGCCCUUGUUCUGUUAUCACAAUGCCUGAUGAUUGUCUUCCCAGUGAGUUCUCUUUCUGUCUACCGUGUCAUGUGCGUGACCUAAGAGCAGAGCUGUGCAGUCAAGUGAACCCACCAAGAGUUUAAACAGUUUUGUGUCUUAAACUAUUAAGCAUCUGGAAACACUUUGUUGUUCCACUGUCUUGCCUGAAUGGUGUUGUGUGAAACUUGGGAACUCAUUGAGAUAAAUAUGGAUUGCAGACAAACUCUUGCCUCCUGUGAAUGAGAAGAGAGGAGGACCUCGAACAACCUGCCCUAGCUUCCCUCCUUCCGUGAUGCCAGCUCCACAGCAUGAAGGAAUAUCCCAUAUUAAUCUCCUAAUUUAAAUUUGAAAUGAAAAACUAUCGCAACACUUGGAGCAUACUUUAAUGCGUUGAUUGUGCUGGCUUGAUUCCAGCAGUGUAACUAAUUGCAUUCUGCCUGCAAAAAAUUCUCAUUGCUUGUGGCUUUUUUGAGCGGUGCUGGCUUGAAUUCUUGUGUGAUCUCUGCAGCCUGACUACACAUUUUUGGUGCUAAUGGAAAACUGCUUAAAAUGACUAAGCAUCUCUCCUUGAUGAAAGAAAAGCCAUGGGACCUGCUAAACAGAUCCAGUAUAGUGCUCUGCUGCUGAUGCAGUGAACCUAAGGAUCAGGUGAUGACUUAGAAAAAUGGUCUCGUUCUCCUGGAAACGAAGAGCUCAGGCUCCUAUUUGAAACUACUGUCUAAGCUGUGGGCAUGACGCAGGGAUGGCAAAAGGUGACCAAGGUACAUCUGCUGGUGUUAGAGCCAUCUGCCUUCAUCAGAGAUUGAGAUAUGGCAGAGAAGCAAUUGUUCGAAUUGGCAGGACAAUGGUGAUGGAGAAAAUACUACUGCUUGGAACAGCAGUGACCUCUUGUGGGUAGUGAGGAUGGCUGAUGAUGCUGGCAGUUGGUACUUGGGAGUCAGAGGAUAUUAUUCUGUUGUAAUUAUGUUUGUGGCCCUAAAGUGAAUGUGGUAAAGGGAGCUCGGAUUCCCUUGGCUAGGUAUUAGAAACAAACAGCUAUAAAUGAUGCUAAGUCUUUUCUUCUUCACAUGUAUGUGCUCUGAAGCUGAGAUGUGAAAUAGUGUCCUAAUUGUUCAGGAGCAGUCCAGACUCCUCUCUCUCUGGUGAACCCAGAGUUGGCCUUUGAGCGUAUCAGCGGAGUAAGAUAGAGUGAGACCAGAACUUUUGCUCAUGUACUUUUUCCAUGAAGUGUCUUCAUCUCUGGUAAAAGCUGUCUCACUGAUCUGGCACAAAAUCAGGAGAGUAACAUGGUAGUAUGCAAGCAACGAUUGUGUCUGUGAUAUGCAGAGGUCCUGUGAGGGUCUCGGCCCCUAAAAAUCACAUAAAAGACCUAAGGCAUAUAACCAGGUUCCUAAUGAAAUGAGAACUAUGCCUCAGCCCAGCUGCCUAGUCAGCUGCAAAGGCGAAGUAAAAACUUCUUGUUGAAGCCUUUUUUUUUUUUUUUUUUUUUGAAAAAGUUAUGUCACUACAUUCUAUCUCACAGUUAGUGGAGGUAAAUUUAGGUCGUUACAGCUCAACUGAUGCUUUCUAAGAUGCAGGGUGUAGCCUGUGUGUCAGAAAGCUCUUUUAGUAGUCGGUGAGAUUAAUUCAAGUCAGGAAAAAAGACUUUCUGUGUCUUUCCACCAAACACCAGGUUGCUUUGCCUCGCUGUGCUUUGAGAGCAUCUGAAGGUGAAAUUCUUAAAGGAGAAUUUUCAUUUUGUAUGUUGCUUUAUGACAAGCUAGUUGCUCAGAUUUUUUACUUCUCUCUACUCUGAGCUACACACAACGCUGCCUUUGAAUUAUCAUGUAUCUUUGGGCAGUUUCCAAAUAUUUCUGUUCUCUGGACAACUGCAGAUUCCAUGGGACUGAAGGUAGGAAUGUGUAUCCGAGCAGAGACAGCUGCACUGCUACCCUGCAAUUAGAA
Molecule: long non-coding RNA, 3734 nt
Organism: Aquila chrysaetos chrysaetos
Lineage: Eukaryota; Metazoa; Chordata; Aves; Accipitriformes; Accipitridae
Exons: 15
Source: RefSeq, a predicted model, not a curated record